GUCUACGGCCAUACUAUCCUGAACAUGCCCGCUCUUGUCUGAACUCAGAAGCUAAGCAGGGUCAGGUUAGUACUUGGAUGGGAGAAAAUUGUUGUUUUCA
Molecule: non-coding RNA, 100 nt
Organism: Papio anubis (olive baboon)
Lineage: Eukaryota; Metazoa; Chordata; Mammalia; Primates; Cercopithecidae
Source: Rfam